GAUUAUGGCUCAGGAUGAACGCUGGCGGCGUGCUUAAUACAUGCAAGUCGAACGAAGCACUUACGACAGAUCCCCUCGGGGUGAAGAUGUUUGUGACUUAGUGGCGGACGGGUGAGUAACGCGUGGGUAACCUGCCUCAUGCAGGGGGAUAACAGUUAGAAAUGACUGCUAAUACCGCAUAAGCGCACGUGACCGCAUGGUCGAGUGUGAAAAAGAUUUAUCGGCAUGAGAUGGACCCGCGUCUGAUUAGGUAGUUGGUGGGGUAACGGCCCACCAAGCCCGCGAUCAGUAGCCGACUUGAGAGAGUGAUCGGCCACAUUGGGACUGAGACACGGCCCAGACUCCUACGGGAGGCAGCAGUAGGGAAUAUUGCACAAUGGGGGAAACCCUGAUGCCAGCGACGCCGCGUGAGUGAAGAAGUAUUUCGGUACGUAAAGCUCUAUCAGCAGGGAAGAUAAUGACGGUACCUGACUAAGAAGCCCCGGCUAACUACGUGCCAGCCGCAGC
Molecule: ribosomal RNA, 507 nt
Filed under: uncultured bacterium
Lineage: Bacteria
Description: bacterial SSU rRNA
Rfam family: Bacterial small subunit ribosomal RNA
Source: RNAcentral